GGGCCGAUGGUACAGACUGGUAGCUACGCUCGCCUCGCACGCGAGAGAUCGCGGGUUCAAAUCCCGCUCGGUCCA
This 75-nucleotide transfer RNA is filed under the name Nitrososphaeria archaeon. Its description in RNAcentral is "tRNA-Ala". It matches the Rfam family "tRNA". Rfam says of the family: Transfer RNA (tRNA) molecules are approximately 80 nucleotides in length. Their secondary structure includes four short double-helical elements and three loops (D, anti-codon, and T loops). The record is from RNAcentral. Lineage: Archaea; Thermoproteati; Nitrososphaerota; Nitrososphaeria.